UACGUAGGCAGCAAGCGUUGUUCGGAUUUACUGGGCGUAAAGAGUGCGAAGGCGGUCCUGUAAGUUUGGUGUGAAAUCUCCCGGCUCAACUGGGAGGGUGCGCCGAAGACUGCAGGGCUUGAGUAUGGGAGAGGUAAGCGGAAUUCCUGGUGUAGCGGUGAAAUGCGUAGAUAUCAGGAGGAACACCUGUGGUGUAGACAGCUUACUGGACCAUAACUGACGCUGAGGCACGAAAGCGUGGGUAGCAAACAGG
This 253-nucleotide ribosomal RNA is filed under the name uncultured bacterium. RNAcentral describes it as "partial 16S ribosomal RNA". It matches the Rfam family "Bacterial small subunit ribosomal RNA", at positions 524 to 776 of the family's 1533-position model. The record is from RNAcentral.